GGCUUGUGGCUCAGAGGUAGAGCACUCAACUAGCACUUGCAAGGCCCUGGGUUCGAUCCUCAACACUA
Molecule: transfer RNA, 68 nt
Filed under: Marmota monax (woodchuck)
Lineage: Eukaryota; Metazoa; Chordata; Mammalia; Rodentia; Sciuridae
Description: tRNA.Ala
Source: RNAcentral